RNAcentral lists this transfer-messenger RNA (348 nucleotides) under Bacteroidia bacterium. It matches the Rfam family "transfer-messenger RNA". Rfam says of the family: Bacterial tmRNA, also known as 10Sa RNA or SsrA, is named for its dual tRNA and mRNA-like properties. The record is from RNAcentral. Lineage: Bacteria; Pseudomonadati; Bacteroidota; Bacteroidia.
GGGGCUGAUUUGGUUUCGACAUUUAAAAAUGGUUUCUAUAUGUUAGGUCAAAGUUUGUAAUCUUUGUAAAAAAUACUAAAUUCUUAUAAUAAAUGCUAACAAUAUAAUGCCUUUUAUGUUUAAAGUAGUAAAACUAAAAUCUCCAGUAACUAUUUUAAAUAGUGUUGUGUAAUUACUUAUGGUAGGUUUGGGUUGUUAAAUAUUUUUUCAUUCUUGCUAGACUUUUAUCUAGUUUAUAGUUUAGAAUAGUUUUAAAUUUUCAAUAUUCAAGUUUUUUUGAAUUAAACCUGUAAAUAAGUAUAGUAAUCAACUUUAGAUGGACAUGGGUUCAAUUCCCAUCAGCUCCAA